Molecule: ribosomal RNA, 864 nt
Filed under: uncultured archaeon
Lineage: Archaea
Description: SSU rRNA
Rfam family: Archaeal small subunit ribosomal RNA
Source: RNAcentral
CACCGGCGCCACAAGUGGCAUCCGUAUUUAUUUGGCCUAAAGCGUCCGUAGCUGGUUUGGUAAAUCUCUUGUGAAAUUGUCAGGCUUAACCUAACAACGUGCAGGAGACACUGCCUUACUUGGAACCGGGAGGAGUCAGAGGUAUUCCUUGGGGAGCGGUAAAAUGCUAUAAUCCUUGGAAGACCACCUGUGGCGAAGGCGUCUGACUAGAACGGAUUCGACAGUGAGGGACGAAAGCUAGGGGAGCGAUCCGGAUUAGAUACCCGAGUAGUCCUGGCUGUAAACUCUGCGAGCUAGGUGUUGCGUAUUCUUAGUGGAUGCGCAGUAUCGUAGCGAAGGCGUUAAGCUCGCCGCCUGGGAAGUAUGGUCGCAAGACUGAAACUUAAAGGAAUUGGCGGGGAAGCACUACAAGGGGUGCGGCGUGCGGUUCAAUUGAAUUCAACGCCGGAAAUCUCACCAGCAGCGACGGCAGGAUGAAAGUCAGGUUGAAGGUCUUACUUAACAAGCCGAGAGGUGGUGCAUGGCCGCCGUCAGCUCGUGCCGUAAGGUGUCCAUUUAAGUAUGGUAACGAGCGAGAUCUGCGCCCACAAUUGCUAACGAGUUCUUUCGAAUGAUCGAGCACAUUGUGGGGACUGCCUUGGAAACAAGGAGGAAGGUGCAGGCCACGGUAGGUCCGUAUGCCCCGAAUCUGCUGGGCUACACGCGCGCAACAAUGGUAGGAACAAUGGGAUACAACUCUGAAAAGAGAAGUUAAUCCUCCAAAUCCUGUCCAAGUUCAGAUCGAGGAUUGUAACUCAUCCUCGUGACGCUGGAAUCCCUAGUAAUCGGAAGUCAACAGCUUCCGGUGAAUAUGUCCCUGCUUCU